RNAcentral lists this long non-coding RNA (315 nucleotides) under Elaeis guineensis (African oil palm). Its description in RNAcentral is "long non-coding RNA (EGUI_LNC078512)". Lineage: Eukaryota; Viridiplantae; Streptophyta; Magnoliopsida; Arecales; Arecaceae. The record is from RNAcentral.
AGGGUAAGUUUUUUUUUUUUUGACCAAUACGACCCAGUAUCUGAAUGAGAAGAUGCCUUGCCACUUUCAUCAACUGUCUUGACGAAGGAAGAGCAUAGAGGAUGGAGAAUUUCAGAAUGACCUCGACUUAGGUAGAAAUACGAUCUAAGAUAUCAACUGAUUUCUAACUCGGAUAUCAACCGACCACAGAAUUGAUGGACCAGAAGGAUCGGCAUCUGGCUUCGGAUUUAGCCGAGAUCUCAUUUUGACAUGUCCUACUAAGACUUUCAUGAGCAUUGAUGAUAUUGACAACAGCCUCUCACCUCUUCGACAUGA